GAUGAAGAACGUAGUGAAAUGCGAUAAGUAAUGUGAAUUGCAGAAUUCAGUGAAUCAUCGAAUCUUUGAACGCACAUUGCGCCCGCCAGUAUUCUGGCGGGCAUGCCUGUCCGAGCGUCAUUUCAACCCUCGGGCCCCCCUCUGCGGGCGGCCCGGCGUUGGGGCUCAGGCGCCGUCUCUGCUCGGCGCCUGUCCCCUAAAUGCAGUGGUGGCCUCGCCGCUGCCUCCUCCGCGUAGUAGCACAAACCUCGCGGCUGGAAGGCGGCGCGGCCACGCCGUAAAACCCCCCAACUUUACCAAGGUUGACCUCGGAUCAGGUAGGAAUACCCGCUGAACUUAAGCAUAUCAAUAAGCGGAGGA
Molecule: unclassified non-coding RNA, 360 nt
Filed under: soil metagenome
Description: partial contains 5.8S ribosomal RNA, internal transcribed spacer 2, and large subunit ribosomal RNA
Rfam family: 5.8S ribosomal RNA (bases 1-120)
Source: RNAcentral